UACGGAGGGUGCAAGCGUUACUCGGAAUCACUGGGCGUAAAGGACGCGUAGGCGGGUUGGUAAGUCUGAUGUGAAAUCCUAUGGCUCAACCAUAGAACUGCAUUGGAAACUACCGACCUAGAGUAUGGGAGGGGGAGAUGGAAUUAGUGGUGUAGGGGUAAAAUCCGUAGAUAUCACUAGGAAUACCGAAAGCGAAGGCGAUCUCCUGGAACAUUACUGACGCUAAGGCGUGAAAGCGUGGGGAGCAAACAGGAUUAGAUACCCUGGUAGUCCACGCCCUAAACGAUGUUCACUAGUCGUCGGGAUGCUAGUCAUCCCGGUGAUGCACUUAACAGAUUAAGUGAACCGCCUGGGGAGUACGGUCGCAAGAUUAAAACUCAAAGGAAUAGACGGGGACCCGCACAAGUGGUGGAGCAUGUGGUUUAAUUCGAAGAUACGCGAAGAACCUUACCUAGCCUUGACAUUGAUAGAACGGACCAGAGAUGGACCGGUGCCCUUCGGGGAGCUUGAAAACAGGUGCUGCACGGCUGUCGUCAGCUCGUGUCGUGAGAUGUUGGGUUAAGUCCCGCAACGAGCGCAACCCUCGUCUUUAGUUGCCAGCAGGUUAAGCUGGGCACUCUAAAGAGACUGCCUUCGUAAGGAGGAGGAAGGUGAGGACGACGUCAAGUCAUCAUGGCCCUUAUGGCUAGGGCUACACACGUGCUACAAUGGGGCGUACAGAGAGUUGCGAUACCGCGAGGUGGAGCCAAUCUCACAAAGCGUCUCUCAGUUCGGAUUGUAGUCUGCAACUCGACUACAUGAAGCUGGAAUCA
Molecule: ribosomal RNA, 812 nt
Filed under: uncultured Sulfurimonas sp.
Lineage: Bacteria; Pseudomonadati; Campylobacterota; Epsilonproteobacteria; Campylobacterales; Sulfurimonadaceae
Description: bacterial SSU rRNA
Rfam family: Bacterial small subunit ribosomal RNA
Source: RNAcentral